GAUGAAUCAGACAAUGCUGCUGC
This 23-nucleotide non-coding RNA is filed under the name Arabidopsis thaliana (thale cress). Lineage: Eukaryota; Viridiplantae; Streptophyta; Magnoliopsida; Brassicales; Brassicaceae. The record is from RNAcentral.